RNAcentral lists this long non-coding RNA (1432 nucleotides) under Homo sapiens (human). Its description in RNAcentral is "HSALNT0134805". Lineage: Eukaryota; Metazoa; Chordata; Mammalia; Primates; Hominidae. The record is from RNAcentral.
UUGUUACUAAGGCAGCAGAGUAGAAAGAUGAAGUGCAAGGACCUGGAAAUCAGACACACCUGGGUUCCUGGUGAGCUUCACUGCUUCCUGGUCUCUGAUAUCAGCUCUGCCCAAAUUUCAGCUGUCACAGAAUGAGUGAUCCUCAUAGUAUAAUGGAAAUGCAUCAUCUCAGUUUCCCCAUGGCCUGAAUGUCCAUACAAAAUGAGAGCCAGUAGAGAAAAACAGAGGACGUGAGGAGUUUUUAAAAAUUGAGGAAAAGUGGAAGGAAAAGUAAGGAUGAAGGUGAAGAUGAAGGAAUAUGUCAGAGAUGCUAGCACUGGCAUCCCCCACCACACAGUACCAUGUACUGCUAAAGAACUCUAGAACAUACAGGGUGUAGACGGCAGUCUUCUUGGGGAAAAAGAGGCUUCAGGAUUGCAAGAUUUCAGCUACUGUCUCUCCUCGGAGCAGGAUUCCAUCUUUUCCAUGGCUGGGGCCCUUGACACAUGUCACUGUGCACUGCUCUUCUCGCUGGGGGAAGGAAAUGGAAGGCUGAGACAGGAGAAGACAAAGGAAAGAGAGAGGGAAGGAUGGCGGUGGAGAGAAGAGAAAGGGAAAAGACAUUCUUGCUUGGAUCCCUACAGCAUUCCUGUCUGAUGGUUGAAGCUGGUACUAUUCUCCUUGUCCAGAUUUCCAAAAGACCUUGGCUCAGGUGUCACUUUUGCAGAAAAGCAUUUACUGACUGUUGACUUGGCCAAAUCCCUGUGCUGUGUUUCCUAGUACGCCACACCCUUGGGACUGCAGCCCUGUGAAGACUGAGGUUCUGACGAAAGUCAAGAAAAAUCUGCAUUGCAACUCUUCGAAGAGAAGAAUGUGACAUCUUGUGUCGUUUUCCAGAGGCAGCUGCAUAAAUCACAGGAGACUGAAUACAGGAGAAGAUGUAAGAAUCCAGUCAGCUUCUAUCAAACCAGACAUAAAAGACAUUUGCAGAUAUGUAAAACAAUGCCACUCUUCACAUUGCAUUUUUAAAAAAUAUUAUUUCCCAGAAAAUAUAUCAUCUAUGUUAAUAUGGAAUGGGGUUUGUUAUUCUUAUUUUAAGUAAGGUAUUAUAUAAAUAUUUUUAAUGUCUCAGUUUUAAUUUCUAAUGAAGUCAAUAUCAAUAGAUGUAAUCUAUAUAAACCAAAGUUCUCCGGGGUCUUCAAGAGUGUAAAGGAGUCCUGAGAUCAAAAGGGAUGAAAACCUCUGCCCUACCCUGGCCACCUAAGGGGCUGAAGCCCUCCAGGAGCAGUGCUCCCGGCUCUUGCUGCUGCCCCAGAGCUGAGGGUUUUGGAGCACUGGUGCCCUACAAAACGGAGAGACUGGAAGGAGUUUUCUGGGUCAUGAGGUUGGAACUGCUGGCAGAAGAUCACAGCAUAACUUUCUUCUGGGUUAUAGGAAGAAAUAUAUAAGUAGA